GGUGGAGUUAUGAUAGGUCUCUUGGCAGUUUCCGGCAACACAACUCCAACGAAGGUAUGGAAACACGGCAAGUUAUAUGGACGACAAUACAUCGGUGGCGGCCCGUGGCCUGGCAAUGUAGGCGCUGCACAUUGGAGGAUACUUCAAAAGGGGAGCUUCUCAAGCAUUACCAAGUCAAGCACAGUAUUUAUGGAUGUGGCUGAGCUGAACCAAAACCAACUAAUCACCAAUUAAAGAAGAGCGACAGCCCAGUCAUUAAGGACUUGAUGUGGAGAACUUUUGCACAUAGAGGAACAUACAACAUACACAUGAGCAUCAGUGACAUGAAGCACAGGUGGCCUACCUUGUUUAAUGUCUCACAGGAGAGGAAGGUGCCAGAAUGGAGGCGAAAGGACACCAAAACUGUUAUCCUUGUUUGCAGCGAAGAAAAAUGUUGUCAGAGCAAGAAUUCAAGCACAGACGAACAAUCUAUUUCAGGAUGCCGGGGAUGGAUCAACCAGCAUUCAAGAAAAGAUGGCAUAGUGAUUGAGGGCAGCACCGUCCACAGCAAUCUUGGGGAUCUUAGCCAAGCCCGCUACUAUCUGAUGGGACUGACGUAUGCCAAGACCUGCGAUUCCCCGAGACCCUGUCAUCCAGUUUUAUGGUGUUCCAGUUAGUACUGCUGGAUCUGGAUUUAUGGAAACCUUUCAAAGACUUUGCCAACGAAAUGUUGUUGCCUGGCUCCCGUAAAGUGAAUGGUUGUCUAUAUGUGCCCUGUGAUUGGCUGGCCACCAUUCCAGGGUGUACCCCGCCGCUCGCCCGUAGACAGCUGGGAUAGGCUCCAGCACCCGUAAGGACAAAGCAGGAGAAAAUGAAUGGAUGUUGUUGGCGGCUUUCUGAGUGAUUUUUGGUUGGUGAAGUUUACCUGUCCUAAGUAUAGAAGUUUCAUGUGUUAAUGUUUAUUCAAGUGUCUUAAGGUCAUGAAAAUG
Molecule: non-coding RNA, 968 nt
Organism: Doryrhamphus excisus (bluestripe pipefish)
Lineage: Eukaryota; Metazoa; Chordata; Actinopteri; Syngnathiformes; Syngnathidae
Source: RefSeq, a predicted model, not a curated record